AACCUUUCUCAACUUUUUGGCUAAGAUCAAGUGUGGUAUUUGUUUUUAUUAGUUUAAUAUUUGAUAUGUGGGCCAACAAGUCACACGAUAUUAGUUUACUUUUUUGAGGGGGAGGGAGAGACUAAUUCAGUAGUUGCUACUGGUUUCUCAAGUGUCGUAUUUGUGUUGCAAUAUCGCAUGGGCUGAUGAACCCCAC
Small nuclear RNA from Medicago truncatula (barrel medic), 196 nucleotides. It matches the Rfam family "U2 spliceosomal RNA". From Rfam's summary of the family: U2 is a small nuclear RNA (snRNA) component of the spliceosome (involved in pre-mRNA splicing). NCBI's taxonomy places the organism in Eukaryota, Viridiplantae, Streptophyta, Magnoliopsida, Fabales, Fabaceae. The record is from Rfam.